Jaminaea rosea is the source of this 105-nucleotide non-coding RNA. NCBI's taxonomy places the organism in Eukaryota, Fungi, Basidiomycota, Exobasidiomycetes, Microstromatales. The record is from the annotation of a RefSeq genome assembly.
GGGCGUGUGGCGCAGCGGUAGCGCGCUUCGUUUGCAUGUAUGCAAAGUCACGAUUGUCUCGAUCGCUCUCCGAAGAGGUCUUGGGUUCGAACCCCAACUCGUCCA